CCCCAUAGGAUAGGAGUCUUAAAUUACUCCGAGACUGAUAGGAAGGGACGAGUAACUGCAUGCAAUAGAGGACGAGACCAACUUUCGCUUUAAUUGCCUUUAUGAUGUGGGAAAUAGUAGAUAUGUAUAUGAUGUAUGCGCUAAUACCAUGUGUAUCCCCUCUUUUUAGGAGUGUCAUACUGGGUAUUGCAUUGAUGUGAUUCCUAUUAUAAAUAAACCUAGGACCCCUUUUACAUUCAUAACCAUGCUUAGAUUGUAGCUCUUUUCAAAACCUUGCUUUCAUUAAUCCUUUUCAAAUACUUGGGUACUUAAAUCCCCCUAUUAUUUGAGCCUUACUUGCUAAUUGCACAAAUUCACAAAAUACUGUCGGGCCGGGAACCAUACUAGUGGAUCCUAAGGGGUGCCUAACACCUUCCUCUUAGGAUAAUUUCAAUCUUUUACCCUAAAUAUAGUUAGAAAUGAACCCUAUAGGUGCCUUUAACACACUUUAAAACUCGUUAGGUGACGACUCUUCAAAAACGCAAUACCCAAUUUCCAAAAGGAAAUGAGUCAUUACACUCCAUGAAUGUCGAAACUCAGACUCCUAUCCGAGGAAAGGAAAAAGGGCAUGACAAUUUAUUAUUUUUAUCUAAUUUAGAUUAUUUAUUUGCUUAAGGAUUAGUGCCCUUUUAGUGUAGUAAAAUGUAGAACCUUUUAGCGUAGUAAAAUGCAGAGCUUUUUUGCAUAGAAAUAAUCCAUGCAGUUUAAGUAUCUUUUAUAUUGAUAGAUCAAAAAAUAACUAUGUCCAAUUAUAAUUUACAAAAAUUAAUUAUUUAAUAUAUAAAACAAAAGCACACAAUUAUAAAAAUAUUAAAAUUGACACACAUAAGAAUUCAAGAUAGCUUAGUGCUACUGGGCCACAAUAUCGAGCCUUAUAACCCAUAAGAAUAUGCUCUGUCUAAUUACAAUUUACAAAAAUUAAUUAUUUAAUUUACAAAAUAAAAACACAAAAUUAUAAAAGAAUAUUGAAACACGUAUAAAUUCAGGAUAGCUUGAUGCUACUAGGCAUCAAAUAUCGAGCCUAGAACCUAUAAGUAUAUACUCUGUCCAAUUACAAUUUACAAAAAUUAAUUAUUUAAUGUAUAAAACAAAAAUACAAAAUUAUAAAAAUAUUAAAUUUACACACAUAAGAAUUGGGAUAACUUGG
RNAcentral lists this long non-coding RNA (1186 nucleotides) under Nicotiana benthamiana. Its description in RNAcentral is "long non-coding RNA (NBEN_LNC005305)". Lineage: Eukaryota; Viridiplantae; Streptophyta; Magnoliopsida; Solanales; Solanaceae. The record is from RNAcentral.